RNAcentral lists this small nuclear RNA (111 nucleotides) under Zea mays. RNAcentral's name for it is "U2 spliceosomal RNA". It matches the Rfam family "U2 spliceosomal RNA". Rfam says of the family: U2 is a small nuclear RNA (snRNA) component of the spliceosome (involved in pre-mRNA splicing). Complementary binding between U2 snRNA (in an area lying towards the 5' end but 3' to hairpin I) and the branchpoint sequence (BPS) of the intron results the bulging out of an unpaired adenosine, on the BPS, which initiates a nucleophilic attack at the intronic 5' splice site, thus starting the first of two transesterification reactions that mediate splicing. The record is from Rfam by way of RNAcentral. Lineage: Eukaryota; Viridiplantae; Streptophyta; Magnoliopsida; Poales; Poaceae.
AUAUAUUUCUCGACCUUUUGGCUAAGAUAAAGUGUUAUAUUUGUUCUUAUCAAUUUAAUAUCCGAUAUGUGGACCAUAUGUUUACUUUGUGUAACACCUUGUCCACUCCCG